This is a non-coding RNA of Potamilus streckersoni, 74 nucleotides long. NCBI's taxonomy places the organism in Eukaryota, Metazoa, Mollusca, Bivalvia, Unionida, Unionidae. The record is from the annotation of a GenBank genome assembly.
UGCUCCUGUAGCCUAGUGGUUAGAGUAUCCGUCUCAGAUGUGAGAGGUCUUGGGUUCGAUCCCCGGUCGAGUAA